This 497-nucleotide ribosomal RNA is filed under the name uncultured bacterium. RNAcentral's name for it is "partial 16S ribosomal RNA". It matches the Rfam family "Bacterial small subunit ribosomal RNA", at positions 28 to 507 of the family's 1533-position model. The record is from RNAcentral.
GAUGAACGCUGGCGGCGUGCCUAAUACAUGCAAGUCGAGCGAACAGACGAGGAGCUUGCUGCUCUGACGUUAGCGGCGGACGGGUGAGUAACACGUGGAUAACCUACCUAUAAGACUGAGAUAACUUCGGGAAACCGGAGCUAAUACCGGAUAAUAUUUUGAACCGCAUGGUUCAACAGUGAAAGACGGUCUUGCUGUCACUUAUAGCUGGAUCCGCGCUGCAUUAGCUAGUUGGUAAGGUAACGGCUUACCAAGGCAACGAUGCGUAGCCGACCUGAGAGGCUGAUCGCCGACACGGGAACGGAGACACGGUCCAGACUCCUACGGGAGGCAGCAGUAGGGAAUCGUACGCAAUGGGCGAAAGCCUGACGGAGUAACGCCAAGUGAGUGAUGAAGGUCUUCGGAUCGUAAAACUCUGUUAUUAGGGAAGAACAGAUGUGUAAGUAACUGUGGACAGCGUGACGGUACCUAAUCAGAAAGCCACGGCUAACUACGUG